Molecule: ribosomal RNA, 492 nt
Filed under: uncultured bacterium
Lineage: Bacteria
Description: partial 16S ribosomal RNA
Rfam family: Bacterial small subunit ribosomal RNA
Source: RNAcentral
AGUGAACGCUGGCGGUAGGCCUAACACAUGCAAGUCGAACGGCAGCACAGUAAGAGCUUGCUCUUACGGGUGGCGAGUGGCGGACGGGUGAGGUAUACAUCGGAAUCUACUUUUUCGUGGGGGAUAACGUAGGGAAACUUACGCUAAUACCGCAUACUCCCUACGGGUGAGAGCAGGGGAUCUUCGGACCUUGCGCUCUUGUAUGAGCCGAUGUCGGAUUAGCUAGUUGGCGGGGUAAAGGCCCACCAAGGCGACGAUCCGUAGCUGGUCUGAGAGGAUGAUCAGCCACACUGGAACUGAGACACGGUCCAGACUCCUACGGGAGGCAGCAGUGGGGAAUAUUGGACAAUGGGCGCAAGCCUGAUCCAGCCAUACCGCGUGGGUGAAGAAGGCCUUCGGGUUGUAAAGCCCUUUUGUUGGGAAAGAAAAGCAGCAGGUUAAUACCCCGCUGUUCUGACGUUACCCAAAGAAUAAGCACCGGCUAACUUCGUG